RNAcentral lists this ribosomal RNA (305 nucleotides) under uncultured bacterium. RNAcentral's name for it is "bacterial SSU rRNA". It matches the Rfam family "Bacterial small subunit ribosomal RNA", at positions 337 to 640 of the family's 1533-position model. The record is from RNAcentral.
UCCUACGGGACGCAGCAGUGAGGAAUACUGGUCAAUGGACGAGAGUCUGAACCAGCCAAGUAGCGUGAAGGAUGACUGCCCUAUGGGUUGUAAACCUCUUUUGCCGGGGAGCAAAGUGCCGCACGUGUGCGGUUUGGAGAGUACCCGGAGAAAAAGCAUCGGCUAACUCCGUGCCAGCAGCCGCGGUAAUACGGAGGAUGCGAGCGUUAUCCGGAUUUAUUGGGUUUAAAGGGUGCGUAGGCGGACGCUUAAGUCAGCGGUAAAAUUGCGGGGCUCAACCUCGUCGAGCCGUUGAAACUGGGUGC